Molecule: transfer RNA, 71 nt
Filed under: Marmota monax (woodchuck)
Lineage: Eukaryota; Metazoa; Chordata; Mammalia; Rodentia; Sciuridae
Description: tRNA.Gly
Source: RNAcentral
GAGGUUAUGGCUCAGCGGUAGAGUACUCGCCUACCAUGUGCAAGGCCCUGGGUUCGAUCCUCAGUACCACA